RNAcentral lists this ribosomal RNA (255 nucleotides) under uncultured bacterium. RNAcentral describes it as "partial 16S ribosomal RNA". It matches the Rfam family "Bacterial small subunit ribosomal RNA", at positions 524 to 777 of the family's 1533-position model. The record is from RNAcentral.
UACGAAGGGGGCUAGCGUUGCUCGGAAUACUGGGCGUAAAGCGUGCGCAGGCGGUUAUUCAAGACAGAUGUGAAAUCCCCGGGCUCAACCUGGGAACUGCAUUUGUGACUGGAUGACUAGAGUACGGCAGAGGGGAGUGGAAUUCCGCGUGUAGCAGUGAAAUGCGUAGAUAUGCGGAGGAACACCGAUGGCGAAGGCAAUCCCCUGGGCCUGGUACUGACGCUCAUGCACGAAAGCGUGGGGAGCGAAACAAGG